Long non-coding RNA from Bos taurus (domestic cattle), 1371 nucleotides. Lineage: Eukaryota; Metazoa; Chordata; Mammalia; Artiodactyla; Bovidae. The record is from Ensembl.
ACUCUAUUCAGAUGCUGGGAGACUCUGAAAACCCCAUUUCUGCUUUGCCAACUGCUCCUUGAGAGUCUCUGCCAGGGGAAGGCAAAGCCCAGAGGACUGAGGCAGAAACCUCAUGGACUGCAGCCCAACAGGUUCCUCUGUCCAUGGGAUUUCCCAGUCUCAUGUACAGAUGUGAGAGCUGGACAAUAAAAAAGGCCGAGCACCGAAGAAUUGAUGGCUUCAAACCGUGGUGCUGGAGAAGACUCUUGAGAGUCCCUUGGACAGCAAGGAGAUCAAGGCAGUCAAUCCUAAAGAAAAUCAACCCUGAAUAUUCAUUGGAAGGACUGAUGCUGAAGCUCCAGUACUUUGGCCACCUGAUGCUAAGAGCUGAUUCAUUGGAAAAGACCCUGAUGCUGGGAAAGAUUGAAGAGGAGAAGGGGAGGACAGAGGAUGAGAUGGUUAGAUGGCAUCACCGACUCAAUGGACAUGAGUUGAGCAAGCUCCGACAGACGGUGACGGACAGGAAAACCGGGCGUGCUGCAGUCCAUGGGGUCGCAGAGUCUUGGACACAACUGAGAGACUGGGCAGAACAGAUCACAAAGCCCUUCUCUCUCCCCAGAUUUUCAUGCUGCGUUCACCAAUGCUUCGCAAGUACUGUGUCUUGCUUUGUUUGGUUUUUGGCUAUGACUGGGGUUUGCAGCUUGAAGAAAGGGCUGUGUUUUAUUCAUAUUUGAGUCAGUACAAUAUGGAACAAAGACAGCAUAAAGUAGGGGCCUGACGUAGAGGAGACAGAGAGUACCAUAAACCUUUGGGGAUUCCUGGAAAUCUGACAGUGGACUUUGGAGAUCUCAUAGGCAUGGACUUGAACUGGAGUCUAGAAGGGCAGGGAGGUCUGCAGGCAUUGUGGCAGAGCUGAUGGCGACCUCCAAAAGGGUUCAAACCAAGGGGCACCUCCCAGAAGUACUGCGGCCAGUGCCCCCGGCCCUGUGGUGAGCCGUCGUGACCCACGCCUCCGCGGGAGACCCUCCAACACUAGCAGGUGAAGAACGCUACAGCAUUUCUCAAAGCUGCUUGUUGUUUAUGGCAUUAUGGCGGAUGCCAUAAACAAGUUCCGUGCCUCUGAUCUCCAUGCCCCAUCGAGGAAUUGUCUGGACCCAGAGAGGUGUUCAUGAUUGUUCAUUGCUCAUGUCAUUUUAUCAGACUCUCUGCAUUUCAAACUGCAUCUGAACCAUCACAGGCAACUGUUAUUCAAUCAGAAUUCAAUGCCUAUUCUCUAAAUCUCUCCAAAUAAAUUAUUCCAAUUUUAAAUUUAAAAAAGGGCAGGGAGAACCCAGCUGACAUCUGGGUAAACAUGUAUUUAUAAACCUAAAUAAAAUCCACAAAAAUAAAAGU